This 429-nucleotide ribosomal RNA is filed under the name bacterium. RNAcentral's name for it is "partial 16S ribosomal RNA". It matches the Rfam family "Bacterial small subunit ribosomal RNA", at positions 355 to 776 of the family's 1533-position model. The record is from RNAcentral.
UAGGGAAUCUUCGGCAAUGGGGGCAACCCUGACCGAGCAACGCCGCGUGAGUGAAGAAGGUUUUCGGAUCGUAAAGCUCUGUUGUAAGAGAAGAACGUGUGUGAGAGUGGAAAGUUCACACAGUGACGGUAACUUACCAGAAAGGGACGGCUAACUACGUGCCAGCAGCCGCGGUAAUACGUAGGUCCCGAGCGUUGUCCGGAUUUAUUUGGCGUAAAGCGAGCGCAGGCGGUUUAAUAAGUCUGAAGUUAAAGGCAGUGGCUUAACCAUUGUUCGCUUUGGAAACUGUUAAACUUGAGUGCAGAAGGGGAGAGUGGAAUUCCAUGUGUAGCGGUGAAAUGCGUAGAUAUAUGGAGGAACACCGGUGGCGAAAGCGGCUCUCUGGUCUGUAACUGACGCUGAGGCUCGAAAGCGUGGGGAGCAAACAGG